RNAcentral lists this non-coding RNA (207 nucleotides) under Marivita cryptomonadis. The record is from RNAcentral. Lineage: Bacteria; Pseudomonadati; Pseudomonadota; Alphaproteobacteria; Rhodobacterales; Roseobacteraceae.
GCAGAUGAGCGUGUCUACGGUCCGAGCGUUCAACAGCGUUCGGUGAAAAGGGAACGCGGUGCUUCUUCGGAAAAAUCCGCGACUGCCCCCGCAACUGUGAGUGGCGAGCGACGCUGAAAGUGCCACUGGUGUCCGUCACGGACCCUGGGAAGGCCAGCAUAGCAGAGACCCGCAAGUCAGGAGACCUGCCGAAGACGAACACCCAGU